RNAcentral lists this ribosomal RNA (497 nucleotides) under uncultured bacterium. Its description in RNAcentral is "partial 16S ribosomal RNA". It matches the Rfam family "Bacterial small subunit ribosomal RNA", at positions 28 to 507 of the family's 1533-position model. The record is from RNAcentral.
GAUGAACGCUGGCGGCGUGCCUAAUACAUGCAAGUCGAGCGAACGGACGAGAAGCUUGCUUCUCUGAUGUUAGCGGCGGACGGGUGAGUAACACGUGGAUAACCUACCUAUAAGACUGGGAUAACUUCGGGAAACCGGAGCUAAUACCGGAUAAUAUUUUGAACCGCAUGGUUCAAAAGUGAAAGACGGUCUUGCUGUCACUUAUAGAUGGAUCCGCGCUGCAUUAGCUAGUUGGUAAGGUAACGGCUUACCAAGGCAACGAUGCAUAGCCGACCUGAGAGGGUGAUCGGCCACCCUGGAACGGAGACACGGUCCAGACUCCUACGGGAGGCAGCAGUAGGGAAUCUGCCGCAAUGGGCGAAAGCCUGGCGGAGCAACGCCGCGUGAGUGAUGAAGGUCUUCGGAUCGUAAAACUCUGUUAUGAGGGAAGAACAUAUGUGUAAGUAACUGUGCACAUCUUGACGGUACCUAAUCAGAAAGCCACGGCUAACUACGUG